This is a long non-coding RNA of Patella vulgata (common limpet), 1813 nucleotides long. RefSeq lists it as uncharacterized. NCBI's taxonomy places the organism in Eukaryota, Metazoa, Mollusca, Gastropoda, Patellidae. The record is from RefSeq and is a predicted model, not a curated record. The transcript is spliced from 3 exons.
UGGGUUUGUUCCAGAAAAGGUAGAAGUAUACCUUGUUCGGCCACAGUGACACAACGUGGACUGAUUUCAGUCCAAAUGGUAACCAUAUUCAUGACUGUGACCCGGCAUUAUGAAGAAUACUAAACUUACGGCAAAGGUUAAUAGAAUUCAUUGGGGAUGAAUUUCUGAUUACUGAAGUGAUGGUCAGUGGACAUCGACAUUUAAUGUUUGCUACAAAGACACAGUUGGAAUUAUUAAAAUCUUGCAAAAUAUGGUUCAUGGAUGGUAUGUUUAAGGUCAUGAGGAAGCCCUUUUCACAGCUGUGGAUCAUUCACGGUUUUCUGAAAAAGGGAGACUGAAUGAAACUGGUGCCGCUAUGCUUCGUCAAGAUGACGAGAAGGACUUCUGAAGAUUAUGAAGAGGUACUGCUGAAGAUAAAAGAGAAAUUUCAACCGGUAGUGGAGUAUGGCAUGCUGGACUUCGAACCAGGUUGCUGGUCUGCUAUAAAGAAAGUGUUCCCUGGUAUGAAAUUAAAGGGCUGUGUUUUCCAUUGGAUACAAUGUGUUUGGAGGAAAGUUCAGAGUGUUGGUCUGGCGGGUUCUUACUACGAAAGGAAGACCGUUUAUAACUACAUCCGUACUUUGAUGGCUCUACCUGUCAACCACAUGGGAGUUGCCUUCGACAAGUUGUGUGUGAUGGCAAACGCAGACCCUUUAAGGGAACUCGUUUCAUAUAUCAGACAGACCAGGCCCCGAGUUCACAAACCAUUCUCAGACUUAACUUAAGUUUACUCAAAAUUGUUUGACUUAUUUAAAGAUACAUUAUGUAAGAUUUAGAUAAAGAGCUAGCCAUUCUUGCUAUAAUAGUUCAAAGAUAGAUAAUAUAAAAUGAAUAAUUUAAAAUAUUCUAUGAGAGAGAGAGAAAUGGGGUUUAACGUCCACUCCACACAAACUAGGUCAUUUCGGGACUAACAUAUGGUUUAAUUUUAUUUCAACAAUUCGCUUGCGCAUAGGGGUCUUUAGCAGUGGGAGGAAACUGGAGGACCUGGAGAAAACCCACGAGGUUGGACAGGCGACCCUACUCCUUGUCACGUACAACAGGGGGUUCGAAACCACGCCAAUCGACUCAAUGACAGACUUUAUGAUACAGCGCGCACGCUAACCAUUCAGCCAUCCAACCCCCCAAAAUAUUCUAUGAAUGGCAUUUAGUAAUUGGAACAUAAUCAAAAACACAAAAGUGUGUUUUUGAAUAAUUUGAAAGUUUCAUUCAAACUACUUUAUGGCGAGCGAAUAUAUUAGCCUUUAAAGGUUUGACAAGAGAUGAGCAAUAAUUUCAACCACCAUACUGGUUGGUCGAAGCUAACUCUCGCUCCUCCAUUUUUAGCUUAAAUCAAAAUAUGGCUGAACUGUUCUAAUCUAUUUAAUAUUGGAGAAAACCGAUGCCAUCGAGAGUUGAUUAUGGCCUGGGUAAGUUAAUUAAUGUCUAAUUAAUAAUUUAGAAAACAUUUCAGGCCUGAAGAAAGACUUGCAAUGGGCAGAUUUAGCUCUUGCAUAAUUUAUGUUUAAUUAAAAUAUAGCCCUUUAUAAAACUUUUGUUGUUUUAAUGUAUCAAAUAGAUCAAUGGCAGAUGGUGGAAGAGGGAAUCAAUUUUCGAAAUUGUCGAAAAACAUACUGCAAAAUAAAUGAAAAGAUGUUUGAUGCUUGGGAGAAGUAUACGGAGUGGCCUAUAACAACAAGUGGUUUUCUGAAGUUAAUUUUUGGGAUGAAAUGACCGUAGAUGAAAGAUAGACUAUAACAACACAAUUUUUAAAGGAAAAAAAAGUUACUGAUGUAUU